GUGAGUUGUCGGUGGUCCAUGCAAGUGAAUUACCAUACAAGGGACAUGACCCAGUUGAGGCAGCCGCUGUUGAGGUACAAAACUUUCUCGUUUCUGGUAGAAGGAAAGAGGCUCUAUGGUGUGCACAAGAAGGUCAGUUGUGGGGCAUAUUUUUAUUGAUUUAAGCAUGCAUAUGUGGUCUUACGAAGCAGUUGGACUUGUGAUCUUUUGACUACAUUAGCCAUCAUCCGGACCUUGCUUUGCAGACCACAGCUGCAGCAAAAGAUCCUUGUCACGAGGAACUGACACAUUGUGUGGUGACUCCUCAUAUGCCUUCGCUGCUUUGAAAAAUGUCUCUGCUGCUGCAGAUAAUUUUUAGGAUGCAAAUAAGCUUAGACAGACUGGAUUUGGGCCUGUUUAUAAGGUAACUUCGAUGAAAACAUAAUUUUGUGGCCUACUACAUAUCAUCGUUGUUUUGAUCUAUCACACUCAAUGUAAUCACAA
Molecule: long non-coding RNA, 483 nt
Organism: Magnolia sinica
Lineage: Eukaryota; Viridiplantae; Streptophyta; Magnoliopsida; Magnoliales; Magnoliaceae
Exons: 2
Source: RefSeq, a predicted model, not a curated record